GAUGAAGAACGCAGCGAAAUGCGAUAAGUAAUGUGAAUUGCAGAAUUCAGUGAAUCAUCGAAUCUUUGAACGCACAUUGCGCCCGCCAGUAUUCUGGCGGGCGUGCCUGUCCGAGCGUCAUUUCAACCCUCGAACCCCUCCGGGGGGUCGGCGUUGGGGACCUCGGGAGCCCCUAAGACGGGAUCCCGGCCCCGAAAUACAGUGGCGGUCUCGCCGCAGCCUCUCCUGCGCAGUAGUUUGCACAACUCGCACCGGGAGCGCGGCGCGUCCACGUCCGUAAAACACCCAACUUCUGAAAUGUUGACCUCGGAUCAGGUAGGAAUACCCGCUGAACUUAAGCAUAUCAAUAAGCGGAGGA
RNAcentral lists this unclassified non-coding RNA (358 nucleotides) under soil metagenome. RNAcentral's name for it is "partial contains 5.8S ribosomal RNA, internal transcribed spacer 2, and large subunit ribosomal RNA". The stretch from base 1 to 120 matches the Rfam family "5.8S ribosomal RNA", at positions 35 to 154 of the family's 154-position model. The record is from RNAcentral.